GGUGGACUCACCGAAUUAAGAUCCUUGUGAGUAUGAUUUGUCCUCUUUUUACCAGCAUUGUAUUUGCAGAAUACCGCCAAUUUGAAGUGAGUUUAAAAAUAUGUGAGGCAUACACUUGAAACAUAUUUCUUUUGCAUUGUCAAUUAUUUUGAUAUCUUAAUGUUUGAUUAUUGAGGCUGAAACACUCACACUGUGCAGGGACCUUUCCUUCAACCCUGGCCUCACAGGUCCUCUCUUUCCAAGAUUAGGGAAUCUGAAAAAUUUAAGUAUCCUGUAAGAACAAAUGAGCAAGCAAUUUUCAUAUUUCCAAUUUGAGCAUUGUAUAUGCAAAAUGCAACAUACAUUUUUUAUUAUAUAUAUAUAUAUAUAUUGAAUGAGAACUCAUGACACUUUUCAUCUUUUAGGAUCCUAGCUGGUUGCAGCUUCAAUGGUGAAAUUCCAGAUGAAUUAGGCAAUCUUGCAGAGCUAUCCUUCUUGUAAGAAAAUAUUAGUAAUCAUGCUUUUAGUGCAUCAAGUCAAUAUGAUUUUUUCAUUUUCCCAACUUUAUGUAAAUCUUUGGUCCUUCUCAGGGCUCUGAAUUCAAAUAACUUUUCGGGUGCCAUACCUCCUUCUUUGGGCAAACUCCCCAAACUCUACUGGCUGGACCUGGCAGACAAUCAGUUGACAGGAACAAUUCCAAUUUCGACCUACCAUUCCCCUGGCUUAGACCUCCUGUUGAAGGCUAAACACUUGUGAGCAAUUAUCCGUAUCCCAACUCUUCUCCAUUGUGAAAAAGUAAAAUUUUGAUAGGGAUUAUGCCACUGUAUAUUGCAUAAGCACUAAAAUGAUUUUAUGAACAUGCAGCCAUUUGAACAAGAACCAGCUUUCAGGUAUCAUACCUUCCAAACUUUUCAGCUCUAAGAUGGCACUGAUACACUUGUAAGUUGAUCCCAUCAACUAGUUUAUGUUCUCUAUUUUUAUUUGGUCUAACUGAUUUUCGUUCUUCGCUUGCAGGUUGCUUGAUGGAAAUAGGUUUACUGGUACUAUCCCAGUAACAUUAGGACUUAUUAAGACUCUUGAGGUUCUGUAAGUAAAACCAAAUCUUGAAUUUCUUUGUUUUAUUUUCCACUUCUAUAUAUAUGCUUCUUGACAACACUUGGCCUCAAGACAAUCCUGUUUGCAACAGUCGGCUUGAUACAAAUGCUCUGGCUGGAAGUGUCCCCUCAGAUCUUAACAACCUUACGAAUGUCAACGAAUUGUGAGUAUCAAUUUUACUGUUCUAUUUAACCAUCAUCUUGUUGGUUGUUAAUCCGAUUUUUCUUGGUUUAUAUAUUCUCUUCCAGAAAUUUGGCCCACAACUACUUGUCAGGCCCUCUACCUGACUUAAGUGGAAUGAAUUCCCUCAAUUAUGUGUGAGUAUAUCAUUUCUAGAGUUUCAAUAUUCCUGCAAAUUGUUUGUUUUUCUGUUGUACUGACAAAUCCUAAUGUUUCUCUCAGAGACCUUAGCAACAACUCAUUUGACCCAUCAGAAGCUCCACUUUGGUUCUCAACCUUACCCUCACUCACCACUUUGUAAGUUCUCAGGAGGUUGUAUAAAAGUCUUUGUAUCUCUUCACAAGUCUAAGAAAAGGAAACUUUGAAAACUUUAUUUGAAAUCCUUUGUUAAACUUCUCUCCUUUUAUGGCACACAGGACCAUGGAAUUUGGAUCACUUCAAGGGGUUGUGCCAGAGAAGCUUUUCAGCCUUCCAAAUUUACAACUAGUGUAAGUUCCAGGGAGAACACUCAAGAAUAUAUGCAUCAAAGUUUUCACUGUAAAUUUAUGAAACUGAUCAUUUCUUUUAAACUCUUGAUAGGAAGCUCAAAUACAAUGCGUUUAAUGAUACGUUGAACAUGGGCGAUAGCAUCAACCCACAACUGCAGCUUGUUGAUCUGCAGAACAAUCAGAUUUCCAGAAUAAGUCUGGGUUAUGAAUACAAAAAUACAUUAAUGUGAGACAGUUGAUGGGCCUUGAUCUUGAUUUCCUAUGAUAAUUGUGUAUUUUCCCCUCACCAUCACUCUUGGUUGUCACUUUUACAUGUUGCAGACUUUUCGGGAACCCGGUUUGCAGCAGCAGUUCUGGUGCAUCAAAUGCUACUUUCUGUCAGCCUCCUCGUCAAACUACAAAAUCGUAAAUGGUCAAGAUGAGAGCUUUUGGCCAACUUGUGGAAAAUGGUGCAAAAGUGGGGAUGCCUGUGUAGCUUCAUCUAAGUUCUUCCAAUCCAAGUCAAGUCAAUAUUGUAAAAAUGGAGAAUCAUUCUCUCUCCUUGAUAUCCCAUUUGUUCUUUCUUUACAUGUGAUCAGAUUUUAAUUGGUGAAGCUUCUUCUAUCAAACAAGCCAAUGUCAUGAAAUCGUGCUUUGAAAAGUUCCGCAUGCAAACGCCUCAGCCCAACUGGCUAACUUUUAAAAAGUCAAGAUUUCUUGUUCCCAUUAGGCCAUAGAGUCUUGUGGCCCCACCGGUGUAUGUUGUUUACUUUGACACAUUCUCUCUGAUAGUCUGCCUUUCGUCUUCAACGCCAUGAAUGAAGCGUGAACCCUCAAGAAACGAAACCAACCCACAUGCAAAUAUGUCCUGAUCAUACAUGCGCAUUGUAAAAUAUGUCAACUCUAAAUCCCCACCAACAGUAGCGACAGCCACAUUAAAUCCAUUAAUCUUUUAUUUUUUAAUAUAUAUUUUUUAAAUAUGUCAUCUUCGGCCUUUCAUGUUGUAUAGAUGUUAUCUGAAAAUGCCUCGAUACAACUUAAGGAGAUACCCAAUUGAAUUGUUUCAUAGGAUUCAUAACAUUCUAUUAGCUUUGGGAUUGCCCUCUCAACGUAAUUAGGUCAAACUCACUAUUGAAGGCACUAGGAAAGGAAGGAUACUGAAUUCAGCAAUUGGAAUUGGAGAAGCUGUAAGAUAUCAUAAUUAUUGUUCAUGGUUGGUUUUGCUACUGUAAUUUUAGGUGUGCCAGAUGUAGGCCAAGCUACGUUUGCUUUGGGAUACAAAGGAUUCUUUUCCAUCCGAAUUGAAGUAGAAUUUGUCCCAAUGUGUCCCCUAAGAAGGGGACAAUCUAACACAAAAUCUCGGAUUUAAAUGCUUUUAAUCAAUUGAGUUGUUGAAUAUUAAGUCUUUGAUUGAUAUAGCUCACAUUUUUUAUGGAUUUGGUAAAACUUCAAUUGAAAUUUUUAUUGGUAUGGCUAGACGGCAAUUUGUGGUUUGUUUUCUUAUUAACCUUUGACCCCUUAGCACAAAAACUAUACUUUAUCUUUUGUAGAAUAAACUUAGUUGUAUUUAGAAACAGUCGUACCAUAGAAGUUGACUGUUCGAAUUAUAUUUUUGUUUUGUGAAAACAAUCAUCAUGUAGAUCUCAUCUUAAAUCAAAUGCUUGAAUACCAAGUAAAACAAAGGAAAAGACCCUACCUACCACCAUAAAAAAUGGCCUCACCUGCCACCACCUAGUGAGGCAAAACAUUGAGUUACAAAGGUCUUGUCUUUAUCCAUUUCUUACGAAAAUGAAAAUCUUUUCAUCCAUUCAACACGAAAGUGGAUCAAACCAUGAAUUGGUCCCGGCCACGCCCCCGAGAGCCUUGAUUUUCAUGUCAGCUUGUGGGACCCAUUUUCACCUAAAGCCAACUGUACGCAUUGAAUGACCUAGUUAAAUUAUAUCAAUGCAAGUUGGAACUUAAUUAAUUAAUUAAAAUUUGAUUAAAAAGUGGAGACUCUAGGCGUAUAUUCAGAAUUGUGUAGCUUUGUCCCCAUUCGAAAGAUGCUAGCUUUGCUCAUGAGAGAGUUGUUUCUGCUUAACUGUUGUUUGUAUUAUGUGACUUGUCCUCUGAAAAUGCGCGGGCGGGCGGAGGAAACGGUAAAACCUCCACAUUUUUUUUUUUUUUUUUGCUGCAAUAAGAUGAUUUUGAUAGAGGAAAGAUGAUGAUGUUUUUUUGGACUUUGUGUGAUGAUUUCGGUUGGUGGGUUUUUUUUGCUAGUGGAAGGUGCUUAUUGUUAAGGCCAAAGGUUGGCUUCUAAGACAAGGCUUAAUCAUUUAAAAGAAGCUCAAAGGGGCCAACCCAAAUCUUUUUCUGUUCUCUCUCUCUCUAUCUCUCUAUCUCUCUCUGCGUGCCUGCAAGUAUUUUUUGAAGACAGUUGAAAAAACCCGACUCACCAAAUCAAGCUUUCAAAGCAAAACUUGUUCUGAAUUGGUGGGAACAUGUACAUGCGCAUGUACAUACAUGCAUGCAUGCUGUCAAGGACUCAUUAAAUAAAAAUCUUCAAGUGGUGUAGUUGGUAGAAUGGAAGGAAUUGAAUUGAAGGGUGUGUCUGUGUGGAGGGAAGUCUUUGAAAAGUGCUUUUUUGACCAUCUGGGGUAAAUAGAAAUGUGCUUUUUUUGACCUCUGCUUACUAGCUGAUCAGCCUCACAGAGGCACCAGUUUACUUGAUUUGCUUGCUCCUUCACCACCAUGGCAACCAUGCGGUUGCUGCUCUUUCUGGCUUUCUGCUCUGCUGGGAUUCAUAUGAUCUUUUCUGAAACAGACCCCGGUGAUGGUAUGGUCUCAAAUCUAAAUGUUUAUUUGUCCAUUAUUGAUUUCCUAGUUAAUGGGAAAUUGGGGUUUUGGUAGUUUGAGCUUUGGCCUGGAUAUGCGUUGACUUAGGAAAGACUUUGCAAUAUCAUGUUGAUCCUCCUGUUUCUCAUGUUUUUGCAUGCAAACUUGGUAAUUAGUCAUUUUAGUUGGUGUUUAAUGCAAGCUUUUCUUAAUGUUUUGGCUAAAUUUUGAUUGUAAGUUGAAUAUCCUGCACAUAGGUGUGUACAAACUUUGUGUUAAGGUAGUAGAUUGAUUUGUAAGUCUGUUGGUCCAGCUGCUGUUUUCAUAUCCUUGAAGGGGGCAUGGACGAAUCUUCCACCCAGCUGGAACGACAAGUCAAAUGAUCCCUGUGGAAUGAACUGGGAAGGAGUCACCUGCAACAAUUCGAGGGUGACCGCAUUGUGAGCAUUGUUCAUCUUUGAAUUUUCAUGGGAUCCUUGUAGUUCUGGGCAUUGGUGACUUACUUUCUUACACAAAUUUUCAACCUUGCACUUUUUUAUGUGCAGGGGAUUAUCAGCAAUGGACUUGAAAGGACAAAUUGAAGGCGAUAUCGGGGGACUCUCUGAAUUAAUAUCCUUGUGAGUAUAAUUGCUCCUCUUUGUACCAGCAUUAUGUUUGCAGCACAUUAUGAAUUGAACCCAGAUGCAAUGCAACAGAUUCAGUAUGUAAACAUAUGCAUAAAACAUAUUUCUUUUGCAGUAUCAAUUAUUUUGUUAUCACUCAAUCUUUGAUUAGCAUGGCAUCCUUUUUGUAACGAAGUAGAAACGUUAACAUUGCAGGGACCUUUCAUUCAACAAAGGCCUCACGGGUUCUCUGUCUCCACGAUUAGGAGAUCUGAGCAAGUUAAAUAUCCUGUAAGAACAAAUUAGCAAGCAAUUUUCAUAUUUGCACCUUUUGAACUUUGUAUAUGCAAUAUAAGUUUUUAUAUUGGAUAAGUAUACAAGACUCUUUUCAUCUUUUAGGAUCCUAGCUGGCUGCGGCUUCAGUGGCAAUAUUCCAGAGGAAUUGGGCAAUCUUGGAGAGCUAACUUUCUUGUAAGAAUUGAAUUGAUAAUCAUACUGUUAGUGCAAACCAUUUUAAGUUUUUUCUUUCCCAACUUUAUAUAAAUCUUUUGUUCUUUUCAGGGCUCUGAAUACAAAUAAAUUUACUGGUCAAAUACCUCCUUCUUUGGGUAACCUCUCCAAUCUUCUCUGGUUGGACCUGGUAGACAAUCAGUUGACUGGAACUCUACCAAUUUCAACCCCCGUUACCUCAGGCUUAGACAAACUAUUGAAGGCUGAACACUUGUGAGUAUUUUUCCAUUUCCCAAACUCUCUUCAUUGUGAAAAGAUGAAAUUCUAAUAGGGAUUAUGCCAUUGCUUAUUGCAUAAACAUUAAACUGAUAAUAUGGACAUGCAGCCAUUUCAGCAAGAACCAGCUUUCAGGUACCAUUCAUCCCAAACUUUUCAGCUCUGAGAUGAAACUGAUACACAUGUAAGUUGAUCCCUUCGAUCAUUUUUUUAAUUUAGCCAGAUGCCAUCUAUCAGUUUAUGUUCUGUACUUAUAUUUAUCUAACUGCUUGUCAUUCUUCAACUGCAGUUUGUUUGAUGGAAAUCAAUUUAUUGGGGAGAUUCCAUCAACCAUAGCACUAGUUCAGACUCUUGAGAUUCUGUGAGUACAAAAACAGCUCGAUUUUGUUAUUCUUUCACAUAUAAGUUUCUGCUUCUUGAUACUUAUUGGAUUCAAAACCUUCUUGUUUGCAACAGUCGGCUUGAUAGAAAUGCUCUGACAGGAAAUGUCCCCUCAAAUAUCACCAACCUAACACAUGUCAAUGAACU
RNAcentral lists this long non-coding RNA (6391 nucleotides) under Prunus dulcis (almond). RNAcentral's name for it is "sRNA ncRNA". The record is from RNAcentral. Lineage: Eukaryota; Viridiplantae; Streptophyta; Magnoliopsida; Rosales; Rosaceae.